AUUUCCCCAUCUUGCAGCUUUUGGAGCAGCCCUAAGCGUCGUGUUUGGGUUUGAGAUUAUAUGGAUUUGAGCUGGGCCUGGAAAUAGCAUCUGGCAAUUUGAAAGGAAAUUCCAGAUAUGGAUUUGAGCUGUCUCAACCCAUGAGGGUUCGGUUGGUAGAAAAUGUUAAUAACUGCCUACUCAGGAGGGUCGGUUGCUCAAUUUUCAUUUGCCUUUCUUAUCGCCUACUGACAAAAUUGUUAAAGACCAAUGGGAGCCAUGAUUAACAGCAUUAGCCCCGUCUUUCCUCUGCAAUGUACAAUUGAGUAAUGAAAUUCCUCCACAACUGUUCAACCAUUAGAUUCAAUCAUUCAACAUAUAAUUAGGUUUUAGCAAGCAAUUCAUAUGUUGCAGAAUAUUUACAGUAACAUUUUAUCUAUUAGGAGCCACUUGGUAUAGAACCCAAGCUAGAUGUAUUAAAGCCCACACUUAUUCCAUGAGUAAUGAGAUACCACUCAAUUUGUUUCCCUUCCCCUUUCUCAUGCAGCUCUCCUCGUUAACUGAUCCUUGGAUGUGCUCUCAAAGAUCUUGUCUGCAUUUCCUACCUCAAAACCAUCUCGCCGAUGAUACUCCUUAACCUGUGUAAGUUGGUAAUUCAAGUGAUCAGUAAAAGCCUAUUAAAUCAAGAUAAGAUCAUACACAUGCUUCCACAACUGAAAGCAGGAACAUGAAAUGGAAAGAGAGAGUCUGAUUUUCUGGACACCUAUCAACCUAUACAAUCAGAAUACACUUAAAUAACAUGAAAACAAAUACAUAAACGCCGCAUGAAGGGGAAUGAGCAGAAAACUUAGAUGGGAACAUUCACCAAUACAUAUCAUCAUCCAUGACUUUUGUAUCAGAAUGUGGUGAGCAUGCAUAAGAAUGAUGUAAAGCAAUCACAAGAUAAAUGAGCAUCAUGUAGUCAAUCAGUUGGAUUGAUUUAUUCAGGUGGCUACAAACAACGUUGAUUUUAAACCAUUACUUUUUACCAUUCUGUACCAGAAAAUCAAAUUUGUGUUAAGAAGUAAAAACAGACUUUCUUGUUUAAAAAUAAGGGUCGUUACCUCCUUGUCUGGUAGGUUUUUAUAUUGAGGCAGCACAAGGCGUUCUGCAAAUUCUAUGUACGAACAGGGGACUGAUUCAGUGACACCAUCAGAAAAUUGGAAGGAGACUGAAUCUGCCACAGUUGAACUUUGCAGCAGAAGACCAUCAGGGCUCACUGUUAAUAGAGGAAAUGAAGUUAUAAAUUGUCUACCCAUGCUUGAAAGAAUAACCAAUAGAAACAAACACAUUUUGUAGCAUCUACAAUGGCAAUUAUUAUCAGUGAACAUAAAUACGAAGUACUGCAUGCAACAAAUGGCAGAAAGAAAAUGCAUACAUGAAAAUCUUUAUGAUUCAUUUGACCAGGAUAGGAUGUGUUAGAAGAUGCAUUUGAAGCAUCACAACGGUUAAGCCAUUCCUCAAAUUAACCAUGGGCCUAAGCAUACACAUUUGGUCCACUCCAUGCUGCAUUUUAGGAUACUGCAUGAAUGAGGUGCCUUAUUAGGGGGUCUAAAAGGUCCGAAAUCUCAGUGACCACCUGGAGAUCUCCAUUCUUGUCUUCUCCACUCAUCUAGAUUGCAGUAACAAUUCUGUUCUACAGCGCCAGUUUGCAUUAAUUAAAUUGUAAACUGACUCCAAGUUACCGUGCUAUUUUCUCAAAUAAAGUAACGAAUCUCUCUUCCUAGAAAAGCAGAUAAAACAACAUGAGGCACACAUUAUUCUCAUUAGGAAAUCAAUUUCACUGUUCCAUUAGCAUGAACAAAAAUUUAUUUUGAAGGGCCACUAAUAUAUUCCAUGAUUUCCACUCAUUCCUUGCCAAUUGAAUCUUUCAAUGGUUCAACUGAUGUGAUUGGAUAUCAAAUUCUAAUCACAUAUCUCAAUUAGCAGUUAGAUAUUUAGCAUUUUCUAGCAUUUCAGUGAAAAAAUGUAUAUGCCUGGAGAGUAAAAAUAAGGGAAAACACAUGAAAACUCAAUCCAACCUAGGACAUAUUUGUAUGAACAUAUAAUCUGUAUGAAAACAUUUUAAACCAAACCUCUUCAUUUCCCACUCGACCAAGUAUAUAUGUUCCUGUUUGAAUCUUAUCUAGGAUUCUGGGAAGCAAAUUUAGGAAUUAAAAAGAAAAGUACAAAAUUAGGUAACAAACCCUUUAGAACCCCCCCUUCAGAAUUCAACUUGAAGCCAUUCUCCUCAAUGAACUGAUUGAGCAUUUCAAUAUUUCUCAAGUGAGAUUUCAGCUGAUGAGUGGAAAUGGUAACAUGAUUGACUGCAUACCCAUUUACAAGGGUCCAGGCAGCAUAUUCACUUUCCCUGGGUAUUCAUAAACUAAAUAGUAAGAUCUUGGAAUAGAGGUCCCACAUAAGUCCAACAACAAUAACCAAGUUGAUUACUUUCAAAUUAAAAUAGCCUAAACCAAUUAGAUAACAAUUGGAUACCUGACGAUACAGCGUGAUUUAGAUUAUAAUAGAUACCUUUGUCAUGUGUAAAAUAAAGGAAGUUAAAUGACAGGAGGUUAAGCAUGUGGAUAUUCAUCCCUGAUUAGCAACUAGGACAGACAUGAAAGUUUUCUGGAAAAGGGUAAGAGUCUUCUUGGACAACAGUUUACGACAUUCUUUUGGUGUUCAGGUGGUUGUAAAACUUUUUUUGUACAUCCAAUUGAAUUAUCUCAUGAUCAAAUGUCUUUUCUUUCAGCCAAAAAGAAAAAGAAGAGUACCUUGCCAAUUGUUGAAAUUCAGAAUACAAGGGCUUUUCCCAUGUUAAAAAUCCCUGGGCACUUGCUAGAGCUGCAUGUUUAUUUCCACUACCAGAUAUUUCAGUGUAUUUUCUAAUUAUCUCCUGUAAAUAAAAGCAACAGUUUCAAGCACAAAGUAUUCAUCCUGACAAAACAAUUAUCACCAAAGUAUCCAAAAUUUUCCAAUUAUCACCAAAGUAAUCCAAAAAAAGAUAUAAGACAAAGCAUAGGCUAGAUGAAAAUUUAUAAGAGAUGGGCCGAAUAGGUCUUUCUUUGCUUAUAUUUGCACAAGCUAAACCAUAAAAACAGUUAAUAACCAUUUGUAUCUGUAAGAGACAGCAAGAGAGUUUCUCUUGCAUGGAUCAUUUUUUUUUUCAAACUAAAAAUCAUUUACAGCUAGAAGAAAAAAAUGUGAAAAAAAAAAAAGCCUACAUUAUGGUUCACGACUACCCAUCAACAAAGAAAUAAAUUUGGAAACAAGAUUAUCAUGAGUUUCACUUGCAUUUGGAUCUGCUUUUUCCAUGUAAAAAUGCAAGAAAAACUAAUAAAAAAGGUAAAGCCACAUUAUGGUAAACAACACUUCAUCAAAAAAAUAAAUUUGGAAAAGUUAUUGUACCAUAUAUGUUGAAUUAAACAUUUUCAAACAUCUAUUGAUCUGUGAACAGACCUGCCAUUCAGCAAAUGAAAGCCUAGCUUAUUCAACUAAUUGAUUGUUCCACAAGAUCAUUUUAAUGGUUCUUUGGAUAGAAAAGCACAUCACAUGGUAUUCAACACCUCAGAUGCAUUUGGCUGGGGAAAACCAUUGUCAUAAAUAUUCUCAUAACCAUCACCACAGACUGUUAUAAAUAAUACCACCCUACUACCCAAUCCCAAACCAUAGGUGAACACUAUCAAGAUACAAUAAAAUGAAAAGAAAGAAUUCAAAUAGAGUAGAAUGAGUUCAGCUUCCUUUAUUUCAAUUUUAGGACCGACUGGGUUUACUCACCAACAUAACUAUGCAAGAAUUCAAUUUCUAUGAAACCAGAUAUAUAUAAGACUUGUCAUGACACUGAAAUAGAACAACAAAAUUGAUGGAUUUGUUCAACACAGAAUUUUUAUUCCCACAAAAAUUCAUGAGGAGAAGAAAAAAAAAAAAGAAAGCAGAGUAUGCAUUAGGAUCAUUAUACUCAAAACAGAGGCACAAAACUGCAAACUAUCAUCUCACCAUGAUUAAUUCCAAGGACAAACCUGAGCUGGCGGACUCAUCUGAUCUACAAGAAGCUCCGAGAUGAAUAUUCUUGGCAAAGGCCCAUGAACACCAGUGCCAGUGUCCGUAUGGGAAAUUCUGGGAGGAGAGAACCACAGGGCCCUCAAUUUUUUUGCAGGAAAUCUCAACUCCUCCCGGGGUUUAUAACCAAAAUCCAAGAAAAAUUGGGCCAUAGAGUCGAUCCCAUAACCAUUUACCUGUUAUAUUUCAAAUCAAAUAAAACUUUGUACCUCAAUACACAUGCAAAUCAAGAUUACAAAUAUGAAUCACACCAAAGUAAAAACUAAAAAGAAAGGCAGAGUAUACCCCAAAUGUCCUAAAUGCAAGAUGAUCAUAGCAAAUUCGAUCAUUAUCAACCGAUCUAACGAGCUCCAAAACAGAUUUUGCAGUGGGGUUCCUAUUUAAAUAAACUGUUUCCAUACUCCCCAACACAUUCCUAAAAAACGAUUCAGCUCCCUGCAACAGAGAUGGAAGAACGAUGAUUUAAACUCUUAACACCAAUAGAAACAAAUUACAGAUUAAUGCCAUAGUAGCCCCUAAGCAAUCAGAAAAUCCAGUGAAAUUUUAUUGAAUCAGUUAUGUUGCUACAAUAGUAACGUCCAGCAUAAUUUUGUAGUUUCAGGAACUUGCGUUUGGUUGCAUGGGAUAAGAAUCGAAAAGGAAUUAUUAUAGUUGGAUGCCCAUGUCCUAAUUGGUGGUCGAUUCUGGAAAAUUAAAAUGCAAUGAAGAUUGAAUGGAUCGAACGGGUUUACAGUCUAGAGAGUUAUAAGCAAUUAAGCAUCCCUGAUUGGGAUCAAAUAUUAAUUUCCUAAAUAAAAGAAAAUUUUAAAUUGAAAACCCAGAGAUAUUCCGGGAACCUGAAAAGGAGGAACGGGGGGCUCAGGCUCCAUGUGAGACCGAGUAGCUGUGCACAGACUUCGGUUAAGGAGGGAAACCGAAUUCCCGGGAGAGGACAGAUGAGGGAAACUGGUGGGGAGAGGGGAGGGGAAAGAGGUGAGAGAGCGGAGGGAGAGGAAAGUUGAGGAGCGAGGGGUGGUUCUGAUGGUGGAGUAGAGGGGAAAGAUGGAGGAAAAGGAUGUUACAGCCGCGGCCUCCAUUUUCUUUCCGGAAAUGUGACGACAAAUUAAGAGCGAAGCAGCCUUGUCCCGUAUUUUACCAUGGGACUUCAGGCCACAGGUGGGGCCAAGUGCCAAGCCCUCCAUUCCCAUAUCAAGUAGGACUCCGUCCAAUUAAGCCAUCCCGUACAGUGUGUAUGUCCAUUAUCAAGCCUUACGAAGGAUUCAAGGGCCUACACUGGCGGAGCGGCUGCCUCGGUCAAUUAUGACAAAACAUUUGGUUCCUCUGCCAUUACCCAUUUGUGGUAUAGAGCAAUCAAAUUAUGCCCGAUGCCAUGCGUUCACUUUAUGCCUCGUUACUUGUUACCCAAAUGCCAUUCGUUUACUUAUAAGAUGUGCUUAUUCUUCUAUAUCCUAAUUUUAUUUAUUUGUAUCUUAAUCCCAUGUACCUAUAACUUCAUUCAAUGACUUAAAUUUUGUCUUAUAUUUAGUAAAAGUUAAGUAAAAUUCUUUUUUAGAUAAGCCUAUAGGUUGCUGUUGUUUUUUUUUUUUUUUUUCAAAUUUUUUUAAAGGAGAAAUUCUUUUUUCUAAAGUCAAAGUAAAUUAUUUUUUUUCGAUAAGCUUGUAAAUUUUUUAUUUUUUAUUUUUUAAGGGGAAAAAUCAUUUAAAAAUAAAAUAAAAUAGUAAAAGAAAAAAGUUAUUUUAAAUAAAAUUAAAGCAAUUUUUUUAGAUAAAAUGGUGAAAAUAUUUUUUUUUAUAAAUAAAAGCAAUAUUUUAUUUCUUUUUUGAAAUGAAAAUUAUAAAAAUUCCUUUUCUACAAAAAUAAUAAAAUUGGAAUAAAAGAAUAAAAUCAUAAUUUUUUGUUAACAAAGUUAGAUAAAAAUAUUUUCUAAUGUUUUUUAAAAAAAAUAAAUUUGAGACCCAUAAAAAAUGACAAUGAAUUUGAAAUCUCCUUUCAUAGAAUCAAGAUAAUUUUUAAAAUUCUUUUAACAAAAUUUGAAAAAACCUUUCCUUAAUUCAAACAAAAAUAAAAUCCUUUUUGUAUAUGAAAUCAAAUAAUAAAUCAUUUUUUAUAAAUAAAAAAGUGAUUGAAGUAUCUUUUGUUAAAAAGGUCUUUUUUUUUAAUUAAAAAUCAUUUUUAGUACUAAAAUUGAAUUGAUUUUAAUAGUUUUAUAAAUAAAAUUGUAAAAGUUUAUUCUUUUUCUAUAUAAGGUAAAUAAAAAUCAUUCUCGAUCAAAUUUUUUUUUAAAUAAAAUUGAUUUUAAUAAAUUCUUUUAACUUUCUUAAAUAAUAUUGAAUCAAAUCACUUGAUAAAUUGGAAUUUUUUUAAAAAAAAUAAAGAAGUUGAAAUAAUUAAUUUGAAAUCCUAUUUAAUGUGAAUAAACCCCUUGAAAUUUCUUAAAAAUAUGUUUAAUAUUUGAAAUAAUUAAAAUUUUCUUCCAAUUAAUUUAAUAAUUCAAUUUGCAUAUUCUUUUGUUAUUUAUUUCAUAUAUUCUUGCAAUAUGAUUUUCAUCUUGAAUUAUAUAUAUAUAUAAUUAAUUAAUUAAUUAUCAUAAUUCUUUCUUAUUAGUUUAGUAUAAACAUUUUUGGAGUUUAAAAUGGUGCUACCAUAUAAUACCUUUCUAAUAAGUAACGUGACACCCUCUAAACUUGAUUUUUGUAAACAUGUGUUGUUUUUUCAAAAAUAAGAAGUCACGUAUUAGAGUUUUAUUUCUUAUUUUAUAAUCAUUUUUAAAAUAAAUAAAAAUAAGUGACAAUUCACUUUUAAAAAAAAUCAAACUUUGGAAAAAAAAAAAAAGUAUUGCCUUUGAGUACGGAUACACAUAGAAACGACAGGUCCACAAUUUUCCUUUAAUUUUUUUGAAAUAAAAUAUAAAUAUACAUUUCUUUGACAAUGCUUUUCUAGAACCAAACAUAAUAUACUUUAUUUUAGUGCAAAAUUUUCACAUUAUAAAUAUCAUCCUAGUACCAUAGUUCUAAACUCCAAUUUCAUCUUAUUAGUUUUUGCAUUCUUCGAAAAAACAUUACUAAAUUUUUUGGAAAAUUCUUGGGUAUUACAAUGGUGUUGUUGAAUAUAUAAUCCAACAAAUUUUACUUGAAAAAAAAGAAUUUUUGCUUUACAAGUUUAUCUAAUUUUUUUUUUACUUGUCUUUAUUAAAAGUAUUAAAAGGGGAUUUAUUUCUGUUAUUUAUAUAUAUAUAUUUCAAUCAAAAUUUUAUAUAAAAAAAAAUACAAUUUUGUUGGAAAAAAAAUGCUUCAAUAAAAUUUUAAUUUUUUUUAGUAUCCUUAUAUAUAAAGGUUUGAAUUUUAUUGUUGAAAGAAUAAUUGAAAUUUAUACAUAAAAAGAAUGAUUUCAAUUUACACAAAUAAAUUAAAUCAAUUUUUGAUUUCUCAAUGAGAAAACAAGAUUUGAAUUUUAUUAAAAGCAUGAAUUUCAAUUUAAUUAAAAAAAGCUGAUUCCCAUUUAUUUAAAAGAAAGUAAUUUUUCACUUUUAAAAAAAAUAUCACAUUUAUUAAAAAAGAUAUUCUACUUUUAAGGAAAAGGUUUUCUAAUUUUGCAAAAAUAAAAUGACAUAUCUAUUGGAAAAGUGGUUUUUAUUUUAAAAACAAAAGUCUCAUUUAUUAUUUUAAAAAAUUAACUUAUUAAUAAGUGUGGACCCCACAUUUCGCUCCAUGCAUUCCCACUUGAUGGCGAAACUCGCUUUUUUAUUUCUUUGAUGAAAACUUGAUUUUUAGAAAAAGACUUGGAGUCACCACUUAUUUUUGUUUUAUUUUUUAAGGGAAAAACAAAAUAAGAAAGAAAAACUCUAAGUGUAACUCCUGAAGGAAAAACAAGUCUAUAAAAAAUAGAGUCUGAGUCUAGGGGUCAGGUUACCUAUUGGGAAGGUACGAUGGUGAGCCGUAGCACCCCUCUAAGCCCAUAUACAUAUAGUCUCUACUAAACAAAUUAAGAGAAUUAUGACAAUUAACUAAUUAAUUAUGGAUACCAAGAAAAAUAAUCAAGCAAAUGAGUAUGUACAAGUUAUAGUGAAAAUCAAUAUAUAAAAAAAAAUGAUGAAAUCUAAUUACAAAAAUACACAAAAUAAAUAAUAAGAGAAUUAUGCAAAAAUGAUUUCUUGAACUAAAAAAAAGGUAUUAAAAAAUGGUUUUCAAGAAAUUUCAAGGAUUUUAUAAAAAAAUGAUUUUGAAUUAAUGAUUUCAAUUUAUUUAUUUACAAAAAAAAAAAAGUUAACUUAUUUUCUCAAUUUCAAAAAAAAAAAUUAUUUACAUUUAUUGUAUCAAAAUAAUUUAUUACAAAAUUUCAAUUUGGGCACAAAAAUUAUUUUACUUGUUUUUACAAAAAUGAAUAAAUUUUUACAAUUUUAUUUACUUUUAUUUCAAUUUGUUUUCAUUAAAGAAAAGUGAUUUAUACAAAUUAUUUAAAAAGACAAAACUUCAUUUGCAAAAAGAAUUUUAAUUUUUAAAAAAAGAUUUAAAUCCUCUAUUUCUAAAAAAUAAUUUUAAUCCGAUUUUAAUUAAGGAAAAAGAAUUCAUUUAAAAAAAAUAUUUUUUGGACAAUUUUAUUAAAAAAUAAUUUUUGGGACAACUUUAUUUACAAAACAAUUUUUGGACAAUUUUAUUAAAAACAAAUUUUCAAAUUCUAUUAAAAACGCAACCAAUGAGAUGUGAUGAAAUGCAGUAGUGUGAUGGUAGGAAAAAAUAAUAAGAGAAAGAUGUGACUGUAGGUCCAAGACUCAUGAGACUCCCAAGCAAUGCAUGCAUACACUAAAGGGCCCCUAUCCUUGUGCAAAAAAGUGAGCAAGACAAUAAAAAAGAAAGACUAUAAUGCACAUGCGAUGUUCAAUGGGCUAGCAACGGUUUGUAUAUCAAAAGGGAAUAACAAGGUAUAUGGUUAACCGAAAUGAUGGUCACCCAUCCUACGACCAUGGUCUCAAACAUAAUACUUCUUCAGUUGAUCUACAUUAGUUGGCUCCAAGAAUCGGUUUCCAUCUAAAUCCAUCAACCAUGCAGCGCCCUCUAGAGUCAACUCCCUAAUGAAAUAAGGUUCGCUCCAAUUGGGUCUGAACUUCCCUCUAGGAUCUCUAAUCAAUCCUCUAAUGACCCUUAAGAUCAUCCCAAGCUAUUAAACUGUUAGAUACCCUCAAUUGCCUGAUACGCUGCUCAAUACAAUCCAUGCAUGCGUGAGUAUCCUCAAGGACCGUGGUCUAUACUAUUGUAGGUGGGGUAACCUCAAAAUGACCAUGUAAAAAAUAAGGUGGGGCUUGUGGCACUGUCGGACCAAGUGGUGGUGGUGGAGGUGGCAAUGAAUCAUAGGGUGUCUCAUCCUGAACUACGAGUCGUCUACUCUACUGACUAUCUAUCUCAUGUUUGAGAUUGGCUAAGGUCUCUUGAAUAGAAGUCAUGGCAGUCGUGAACUGGUCAACUAUGAUAAUCUAAUGAUCCAUGCCUGUCUGAUCAAUGAUGCAAAAUAGUUUAUCGUCAAUUUUGACUCAAUGUGGCAAACUCAAACUGAGACGAAGAUCAAAUCCUAUAAAGCAUGGGGAAACGAGAUAAGGCACGAUGCGAGAAAAGCAUAGAAGAAAUGCUAGACUAAACUAGAAGAAACAAGUCAACACAAUGCAGAAGAGUGCUCCAACUGAAACUCAAGCUCGCAAUGAUCUCUGAGCACUCUCUAUUGGACAUCAAAAAAUGGAGUAUUGGAUCCGAACUAUAACUAAAGAGGCUCUGAAGGCCCUCAGAUGUGCCCAUGUGUAGAAGAGGAAAUCUUGAUCGAAUGAUCUAAGGCUCAACCUACAAGGUCAAGGUGGCUCUAAAAAGAAUAGGGGUGGACUUUAAAGGAUCCCUAGCAGAAGCGAUCAUACCCUCCGGUGGUACACAACCUCUGCAUGCCUCCGAAGAGACGAGACAUUUCCAUGCAAGGUGGUCAUCACCUCUACACAUGCAUUACCUCGACAUCCCAGGGGGUUUUCUAUAGUGAAAGUUCUCUCAACACUCAAUAGUCAACUAAAGCGCACAGUGAACGGUGUGGGUGUAUUCGAAAAUCCUAUGAAGCUAAAGUAGAAAAAUAAACACACUAAUCACACAAAUAUCCAUGAAACCUAGCUUUGGGCUAUACAGGUCUUCAAAGAUCGGAUUCCGAUCAGCAUCAAUGUGUCAGCCUCCUCUAGAAUGCUCCCAAACAUCGAUAUAGCCCAUCGCUAAACCCUACUCCUAAUCACUAGCUCGGUCGAAGAACAAACAAAGUAACAAGUCUCAUAUCAAAUACGAAAUCAAGGGAAACAAAGUCAACCGAGACUAGGAAAUUAGAGGUAAGGGGAUAGAUGUGUGUCCCACACAGACAAGCAAUACAUGCAUCACAUAGAAUAAUAACAGUCAUGCACCAAGCAGUCAUGCAAAUGAUAGGUAUAUCACUCAUAUCUACACACAAGCUAGGCAAGCAUAUGAUAAGUAAGAUAAGUAUAUAACAAGAAUAAAAAAUAUGUUGAGAUAAACAAGAUAAAAUACAACAAAUAGAAUAAAUCAUGUCAAGAUGAAAGAGAUAUACAAAAAUGAGAAUAUAUAUGUCUAGGAAAGCAAGAUAAUCAUACAACAAGAAGAGUCACUAUGCUAAAGUAGGUAAGAGAAUCAAUCGAUGUAAUCAACAUGUCAACAUCUCUAAUGAACAAUAAUAACCAAACAUGCAUCACAGAUAAACAUAUCAAAGCUCUCAACGUGUAAUCAACACUCAAUCAUACAAAGACACGUAGAGAGGGGUAUCCACUGAUCAACCAAUCAAACGCCACAUUUCCCUCAACUUGAGUUCAAGUUUGACCCUUUAAUUUUUCCCCAAUGGAGUUGCCAUUUUGUGGACCCCGCAUUUCGCUCGAUGCAUUCCCACUCGAUAGCAAAACUCAUUUUUUUAUUUGUUUGGUGAAAAUUUGAUUUUUAUAAAAAGACUUGGAGUCGCCACUUAUUUUUGUUUUAUUUUUUAAGAGAAAAACAAAAUUAGAAAGAAAAAACCCUAAGUGUAACUCCUGAAAGGAAAAACAUGUCUAUGAAAAACCGAGUCUGAGUUCGGGGGUCAAGUUACUUAUUGGAAAUGUACGAUGGUGAGUUGUAGCACCCCGCUAAGCCCAUAUACAUACGGUCUCUACUAAACAAAUUAAGGGAAUUAUGGCAAUUAACUAAUUAAUUAUGGAUACCAAGAAAAAUAAUCAAGCAAAUGAGUAUAUAUAAGUCAUAGUGAAAAUCAAUAUAUACAAAAAUAAUGAUGAAAUCUAAUUACAAAAAUACACAAAAUAAAUAAUAAGAGAAUUAUGCAAAAAAUGAUUUAUUGAACUAAAAAAAUGUAUUAAAAAAUGGUUUUCAAGAAAUUUCAAGGAUUUUAUAAAAAAUGAUUUUGAAUUAAUGAUUUCACUUUAUUUAUUUAUAUAUAAAAAAUUCAACUUAUUUUCCCAAUUUCAAAAAAAAAAAAAUUUAUAUUUAUUGUAUCAAAAUAAUUUAUUACAAAAUUUCGAUUUGUGCACAAAAAUUAUUUUACUUGCUUUUACAAAAAAUGAAUGAAUUUUUACAAUUUUAUUUACAAAAGAAUUUCAAUUUGUUUUCAUUUAAGAAAAGUGAUUUAUACAAAUUAUUUAAAAAGACAAAACUUCAUUUGCAAAAGGAAUUUAAAUUUUUUUAAAAAAAAUUAAAUCCUCUAUUUCUAAAAAAUACUUUUAAUCCCAUUUUAAUUAAGGAAAAAGAAUUCAUUUAAAAAAAACAUUUUUUGGACAAUUUUAUUAAAAAUUAAUUUUUGAGACAACUUUAAUUACAAAACAAUUUUUGGACAAUUUUAUUAAAAAUAAUUUUUCGAAUUCUAUUAAAAAAAAUUCUUUUGAUUUUUUUAAAUGCAUUUUUCUAAAUAUUUAUAAAAAAAACUUUCUUUUAUUAAAAAGAAUAUUUUAAAAUUAUUAUUUUAUGAAAACAUAUUUACUGAAUUCUUCCUCUCAUUUAAGCAAAAUUUCUAGUUUGUUCGAUGUUCAAUUCUGUAUACACUCAAUAUAUAUAUAUAAACGAAUAUUUACAAGAACUAAUAAAAAUAAAACCAAAUAAAAGUGGGAAAUAAAAUAUGUACCAAAAUAAACUUACAACAACCUUAAUGUCUUCCUACAACUUUUUUAUUCUCACUUCCAUGAAAUUUCGUACUUCACAUGUCAUAAAUUUGUACUCAGCCAACAAAAUUGUAGAAUAAGUCCAUGAAAAAACAAAAAAUAGCCCAAAGUGUAAAUAUCCAAAAAUAUGUAGAGUCCAAAAUAAUUAUUCAAGCCCAAAUUCAAACUUCAAAUUAGUCCAAUAAAUUUCAUCAAUUAAAAAUGGACCCAAAUUAACAAAUAUAACCCAACAAAAGUAUCCUAUAUAUCAUAAACCCUAAUCUAAAGUUUUCAAAUUAAUAGUCAAAAUAUAAGUUCAAUUAAUCAAACCCAAAACAUGAUAAAUUAAGAUAAAUCUCAUUAGGCCUAAAUUUAAUAUUCCAUAAUCCAACCUAAUUUAAUAUACACCACAAUUGUCCCAUGUCCAAAUUAAAUAGUUCAAAUUGGCCAAGCCCAUAUCAAAUAUUAAAGUCAUCUAACAAAUUUCAUUAACAAUAAAUGAACCCAAAUUUAAUAUUAAUUCACCAAAGUUUAAAAUAUGACAAAUCAAAAUAAAUUUAAUUGGGCCUAAAUUUAAUAUUUCAUACUUCAAGUCUAAUUUUAUACACAAACAUAAAUCCACAACUAAAACCAAACCAAAUUUAAUAUAUAGAGCCUCCCACAUGUAAUGAAAAAAAAACCAAUAAAUUUAAUUAAGCCCAAUUAGAGAUCCAAUAUGCAUACCCAAAUCUCAAAGCCCAAACAUAAAGCCCACAAAUAAACACACAAGCCCAAUUUUAACAACAAUCAUUAUUAAAAUCAAAACAAGAAAAAAUAAAAAUAAAAAAACAAAUAAUAAUAAUAAUAAUAAUAAUGGAAAAUGGGUGUGAUGGGAAAGUAGGGAAUAAGUGAAAAUGGGAGGGGUCGUCAGCCGGCAGGAGUAGAAGAAAAAAGAAGAAAAAAAAUGGGGCGACAGGCACUACUGUGUGUGAGAGUUAGGAGAGGAAAAAUGGAGAAAAAAAUGGGCGUCGACGUUUAUGGGAGUUCGGAGGUGUGGUGUUGGGAGAAUAGAAAAUGAGGAAGGAAAAAAAUAAAGAAAAAAAAUGUAGAGAGAAUAUGGGGGAGUCGGCCACUGCCUUGGGAAUGGGAGUUGGGGAAAAACCGGAAAAAAGAAAAAAUGGGGAAGAAGAUGUAGGAGUGGGGGGCGCCGGCCGUUCUUGGGAAUAUGAAUGGGGAGUGGGGAGUGAGAGUUGUAGAAAGAGAGUGAAUGAAGGGGGAAGGAAAAAAAUUGCGAAAAUGGAAGGAAAUAGGGGUCAACAGUCCACCUUGGGAAUGAGGGGGAAAAAUCUCAAAAAAGAAAGAGGAAAAAAAUCCAAAGAAGCUAGUAGAGGGAAGAAUAUUGGGGGAAAAUGGGGGUCGGCCCACCUUGGGAAUUGGGAGAAAAGAAAUAAAUAAAUAAAAACUGAUGGAGCACAAAUGGGGAGCUUUUGGACGUGGGAGGUAUGGGGGGUAGGUGGAGGAAGAUAAAGGAGAGAGGAGAGAGAAAAUAAAAAUUAAAUAAAUGAAUAAAUAAAAAAAAUAAAAAAAAAUAAUAUAAUAUAAUAAUAAUAAUAAUAACAAAUUAAAAUUAAAAUUAAAAUAAAACAAUUUACAAAAUAAUAAAAAUUAAGAAUUAAAAGGUGAGUGGGUCAAAAAACACAUGUAAUCGGGAUUUAAAAUUUAUUGAUAAAAUUGGGCUCAAAAUUAAUGUAAAACUAAAUUUUGAACAAAUUUUGGGGUCUACAAUAAGAUUGAAUCUUUGUUUAAAUUAAAAUUCAGUUAUUAAAAAAAAUAAUAAUAAUAAUUUCGAUUUAAAAAAAUCCUAAUUUAUUAUUUUUUUAAAAGUAAAUUAUCAAAAAGAUUGAAUCUUUAUUUAAAUUAUAAUAAUAAUAAUUUAUUAAAAUAUUUCUCUAAUAAAUAGAUUAUUGUUGGUUUUCCAAUUUUGUUUAAAAAAAUGAUUUUGAUUUAUUUUUAAGGAAACGAUUUUUAUUUAUUAACAUGAAAAAAAGAGUUCACAUUAUUAAAAUAUUCUUUUAAAUAAUAAAUAAAAUAAAGUUAUCUACUAGUGAUACACACUUUUGCUUUUAUCUUCAAACUUAUUUUAUCCACCAUUAGAAACAAUAACAAAAACGAAUACAAAGUAUACAUUGUUUAUUUAUCAUGCAAUUUUUUUUUUAUAGAAAAUAACAUAAAGAAAACUGAUAAUGUAUUAUGUUACAAAGAUGACAAACUUAAUUAAAUGGAAUAACGCAAAAUGAGGACAUUGAUAAACAAAUAUAUCCUUUACAGCGCAAACCCAAUGGCUAGUAGAUCUCAAUAGUUUCCGAACAAAGCUCAAAAAUGCCAAAAACAUCUCAACCCUCUUACAAAUGAAAUCAAAUCAAAUUCAAUAAUCACAAAACCACAAACCAAUAUGAAAAGCCCAAUAAACAAAACCUAAUAACAUAAACAAACACUGUAGAAAUCAAGAGAGAAAUUACCUUGAUUUUUUUUUUUUAAGAAUUCUAAUGUGGAAAAUGAAGUGGUAGUAAACCGUGAAGUAGUGGAGAAGUGGCCAAGGAUAGUGAUGGGAUGGAGAUGAUGUUGAAGACAUGCAGUGUAAAGAGUGCCUAUACUGGUGAUACGUGAAGUUGUGGGUAUGGGGAGAGGAUGGCAACUAUGGGAAAGAAAAGAAAUGGGGGAAAUAAAUAGAAAGAGAAAAGUGGAAUAAGAAAGAUGAUUGUUAUGGAAGUGGUUGGUGGGGGAAGAGAAAGAAAGAAGUGUGAGAAAAUAAAAAAUAAAAAAAUAGAGAAGAAUAUGAGAAGUGAGGGAAGUGGGUAUAGACAUCAAAAUUUUUAGUAAAUUAAAUUAUCACUAAAUUGGUCUUCAAAAUUAUGGCUUCCCAAUUCAACAAAAUUUGAGCUUGACAAGUGGGUAAUAAACAAAUUUGAAAUGUGGCAUAUGUUCAGAAGGUGUCAUGUGGUAAAAUCUGGAAUGUUACAAAAUAUGGUAUUACACAUAAAAUCAAAUCGUCUAAUUGAAGUCAAAAGAGAAUUGAAAAUAAAUAUUCUCUUGUUAGCAAAUUUUUUUAACAAAUAAGACAAGUUGCUAAAAUGAAAUAACCAAAUUCUUUGAAUUAAAUACCUAAAUCUUGGGAAAUUCUAAAAUUUAAUUCUCUAAUUUCAUUUAUAAAUAGAGAUGACUUCCUUCAAUGAAGGGAUUUUUUCAAAUUAGAAAAAUGACUUUACAUGGGAAAAUAGACUUCACAAAGAAAAAAAGACUUCACAAAAUCUCCCUACAAAUUCGAGAAAUGACAUAAAUGUUACACACAUGAUCUUCACAUUUCAACAAGUCCAUUCGAGAACCAGCCACUUGUGGCCCUUAGUUAAUCUUUGAAAUCAAGAACAUGUUUUCAGCGUUGUCUUUUAAAUUAUGAUUAAGAUGAAAAAAUAAGAAGGAAUUAUUCUUUUGUAAAAGAAUAUUAUCGCAAAUAUUAUAUCCCCACAACUACUAAUUUUAAUAAAAAUUUUGGCUUCACAUAUUUUUCUAUAGUUUUGCUUACACUGCAAGACUUUGCAAAUUUUGUGUGUGCAAAUUUCUAGCAUCCUUAAUGGAACUUUUUUGCCUCUCAUCUCUUUCACUAAGAAAAUGAUCACUACUAAGACAAUGACAUCUAAAAAAAUUCAAGUUGCGCAUGUCAAUAAGGGUGAUAACAAGAUUGUCAUUACUCAACACAUAGUACCUCUAUAGGCCAAUGACUUGUAGCAAAACAAAAUCAACUAUUGCAUCUUCAACAAAACUAGCAACCGAGCAUACUUGUUUGUUAAAAUCAACGAAGACAUGCAAUAGUUACCAAUUGCUCAUCACUUUAGCUUUUUGAGGAGCAAAGGGCCAACGUCCUCAUGGUUAGGGAAAACAUCUUUCAACACUAAAGGACUUUAUAGAUAAGUCCCCCUACUAUAUUGCCAAUGCCAACUCCAGCACCGACUCACACUUUGGAUCACCAACUAGGGUGUCGAAAAAGGAUAGCUCAUCCAUUCAUUCCAACUCUUUUACUUCUUCCUUCGUGAUAACAAUGCCGAUAAUGACAACAACCACUAUGUCCAUAAAAGAAAAAUUAGUUGAGAUGGCUCAUGCCAUCGCCAAACUCAUUAAGUUCAUUGAGAAGAAAGAUUUGCAAAUAACAUCCUUCAUGAGCAAGGUUGAGACAUAAGCACAAAAUACAAUUGAAUCAAGCUAAAGACUUACUAACUCUCUAAAGAUUGCAUCUCUAGGUGAUGCACCACAUGUGUCUCAUUCGGUGCAAAUCAAGAGGCAAACCGUUGAAUCUACCUUGGUAGUGUCGCUAUUUGUUCAACAACUUCAGAACAUGAUAAUAACACCAUCAAAGUGCAAUAUGGUAGACCCUCACAAAGUACACUCAUGUACUCUAAGUCUUACACCAAGAGGAUUAAUAACCUAUGUAUGCCUAUGGGUUAUCAACCUCUAAAGUUUUAGUCAUUCAAUGAAAAUGGAAAUUUGAAGCAACACGUUACUCGUUUCGUCAAAACUUGCAACAAUGCAAGUACAAAGAGUGACCUAUUGGUCAAACAAUUUGUUCAAUCCCUUCAAGGGAAUGCCUUUAAUUGGUAUAUCGACUUUGCACUCAAGUACAUUGAUAGUUGGGACUAAAUUGAGCAUGAAUUCCUCAAUCACUUUUAUAACAUCUGACGACUUGUAAGCAUGAUGGAGAUUACUAAUACCAAACAAUGGAAAGACAAGUUGGUUGUUGACUACAUCAAUUAUUGACAUCCUUUACGCCUUGAUUGAAAUGAUAAAUCAUCCGACGUGUCGAUUGUGGAGAUGUGCAUACAAAGCAUACAUUGGGGUAUUAUGUACGUUCCUCAAGAGAUACAAUCUUGUACCUUAAAAGAGUUGGCUACAUGAGCACAUAAUAUAGAGUUUGUUAUAAAAGCAAAUUCAAGUUAAAACAUGUCGAUUGAAGAACUCAAAGAUGAUAUUAUUGAGGGUAAAAACAUCAUUAAUGAGGAUGAAGAGAGUGUGACAUCAAAUUUCACUAUAGUUGUUUUCAAACCUCGACACUCAAUUGAUGUUCCUAAAAGCAUGAGCCUAAAUUGCAUAUUGAUCAUGACUCGUAUAAGCUCAAAUUACAUGUAAUAAAAAAAAAAGUUGAACUACGUUUGACUUGAUCUUUUCUCCAUGAAGGGUACAUAGACAUCUUGGGGAAACUACUUAAGUUCAAUCACCAUCAUAUAAAAUAAUAAAUAAAAAAUAAGUAUAUCAAGCGCAAACCGAAUUUUAAUUAAGUGUGAACAAUUGUACACCACAUAGCAUCAAGGUUAUGACUUGUCUACAUAGGUGUUAAGUGUAGUUCUAAUUUUAAUUAAAUGUUAAAGUUUAAACAACAUUAUGCACCAAAGUUAAGUCAAUUCGCAUGAGUGAGGACUGUAACAGUUAACCGCAUUAAGUAUUGAAAAUAUAACACCACGCAACAUUAAUAUUAUGACUUGCCUAUCUUACGUUUAAGUGUAAUUCCAAUUUUAAUUAAGUUUUGAAAAGUUGGAUAUCACCAUGUAUCCAAGUCAAACCAAUUCACAUGAGUGAAGACCUUAGCACUUAAACUGCACUAAGUGUCAAACAUACAACAUCAAGGUUAUAACUUGUCUACAUAAGUGUUAAAUGUAGUUCCAAUUUUAAUUAGGUUUUAAGAAGUUAGACAUCACUAUGCAUUUAAAUCAAACUAAUUUUCAUAUGUAAAAACCUUAACACUUAAGUCACAUUAAGUGUCAAAAGUACAACACUGCAUAGCAUCAAAGCCAUAACUUGUUUGCAUAAGUGUUAAAUAUAAUUCUAAUUUUAAUUAAAUGUUAAAACUUCAAUAUCGCUAUGCAUUCAAAUCAAGUCAAUUCGCAUGAGUAAGAACAUUAGCAUUUAAGCCACAUUAAAUAUUGAAAGUACAACACCACGCAAGGUCAAAGUCGUAACUUUUUUGCAUAAAUAUUAAAUAUAAUUUUGAUUUUAAUUAAAUGUUAAAUUUUGGACACCACUAUACAUUCAAGUCAAACCAGUUCGCAUGGGUGAAGACUUUAGCACAUAAAUACCGAAAAUACGACACCGCUUUGCAUUAGGACUACAACUUGAUUACAUGAAAAUCAAACUUUAAUAUUCAUAUUUUUUUUAUAGAUAUUUAAGUUUAUUAAAAAUUAUUUCUCAAGUGUUAAAAGUGAUUUAAAAUAUAUAUAUAUAUAUAUAUAUAUAUAUAUAUAUAUAUUUGAAAGAAAAUUUACCUCUACAAAUGAUGAAGAUCAACACAUGUUCAAGAUGGUAAGGGUCUAUUGUAUGACUCCACUAUAAUAUAUAUUUAUAUAUAUUAAGGGGUUGUUCUUGUCAUCAUCUUCAUAUUGAGUCAUCCAUACAAAGUUGUCUUUAUUGUGUGUCAUCCUUGCGACAUGGUGUAGCUCCACUAGUGCUACUCCAUGCAUACCCCUACAUCCCCAUGCUCCAAAUAUGAAAGACUUAUCCAAGAGACUUCAAAUUGGAUAUCUUAAAUUAUUGUUCUCUUUAUAUAUAAAAAAAAAAUAAUGAGGAUAAAUUGGAAGGGAAUGAAAAAAAGAAGGUAAAUGUUCAAAUUAGAAACUUUCUUAUUAACACAAGAUCUUCCUUUGAUACAAAGUGGAAAGAAAGAAAGGAAACAAAAUAGUGUUUGGGAAAAGUGGGAAAAAUAUAUUAUUGAAAUAUGAAACCUCCUGCUAAAAUAUUUUUUUGGAAAAGAAAAAUGAAGGUUAAACUUCAAGACCCACCUCAUUUGACAUGGUAGGGCAUGUAUGUGAUACAUCUUGAAAAAUGAACACUUGCAAAUGUCAAAAAUUUUAGUGAAUUAAAUUAUCAUUAAAUUGGUCUUCGAAAUUGCGGCUUUCCAAUUCAACAAAAUUUGGACUUGACAAGUGAUAGGUCACACGCACAUUUGACACAUUACAUAUAUUCAGAAGGCGACAUGUGAAAAAAUUUGGUCUUACAAAUAAAAUCAAAUCACCCGAUUAAAGUCAAAAGAGAAUUAAAAAUAAAUAUUUUCUUGCAAAUUUCUUUAAUGAAAAAGAAAAGUUGUUAAAAUCAAAAAACUAAAUUCUUUGAAUUAAAUAUUUAAAUCUUAGGGAAUUCCAAAAUUCGAUUCCCUAAUUUCACUUAUAAAUGUGGGUGACUUUCUUUAAUGAGGGUGUGGGCCCCCAUUUUCCAUGUGUGCCUCCACCCAAUGGUGAGACUCAUUUUUUUAGGUGAAAAUUUGUAUUUUAUAAAUUAAAAAAAAAUCUAAAGUAACCACUUAUUUUUAUUUUUAUUUUUUUAAGGGAAAAUAAAAUAAAAUAACUAAAACCUAAAUAAAAAUGACUCCUUAAACUUUUGGAAAAGUGUAUCUUCGAAAAACCCGAGUCUAGGUCUGAGAUUAUCGAUCAAAAAGGUACCUUAAAAAUGUAGCACCCUUCUAAGCUCUAAAAGGGUCUCUACUAAUUAGGUUAAGGAAAAUGUGACAAUUAAUUAAUUGACUUAGGGUACCAAAAAAGUUUAAGGUAUUUACUUAAAUUCUAACAUAUUAAGCAUGUCAAGCAAUCAUUUCAAGUCAUAAGUAUAAAAGAGGGAUAGGGUGCAUACCCUGACUGCAACUCAAGCAAAAUCAUAAGACAUCAAAGUUAGUUUAGAUAUCAUAUCACUCAAAACACAUUAUCAUUUAGGUCAAUGAAUUAAAUAAAACAUAGAGAUGUUCACAUAUGAAACAUACACAUCUGUUGAAUUAAGAGAUAAAGUGUGAGGGGCAUAAUUGAAUUACAUAAAUAAUUUACGAUACGUUUCUAUAAGAUAACGGAGGUUAGAAUAAAUUAUAAUAGCAAAUAAUUAACAAGAUCCGAAAUCCUUGCAGGCAUGGUAUCUAUAUGGCAUAAAGAAAGAAUGUAAACUCACCAAGACAUCAAUAUUCCUAUAAGGCAUGCAUACAACUUCUAGAUAUAUAUAUAUAUAUAUAUAUAUAUAUAUAUAUAAAAGGAUUAUAACAAAACAUAUAACCAACAAAUCAAAAUAUGGGCAUCACAAGUAUAGUUCUAAAUUUUUACCUAAGCAUCACUUGACCAUACAAUAAACAAAAGCCAACAUCCAUAUCCAUUCAUCAUGAGUUAAAUACUAAGAGCAACUAGUGUGCAAAAAUUCAACAUACGACUAGAAUAUAUAGAUUGUCUUCAAAAAUAAAUGCCAAAAUAAAAAAAUUAAGAAGAUGAAUUUUACCACACCAAAGCAUAAAGGGCUUCUCCUAGACAUCUAAAACAAAAACUAAAGUCCUAACACUCAUUCAAAUAUCAGAUUUAAUACAAAAAAAAAAAACCAAAAUUUCUAGAAGGUCCAGAAUUGGGUAGAAAACAAUGACAUGCAUAAACUGAAUUUUUUUAAAAUAUCUAGAGGCCUUCUAAAUUCAUAUAUAAACACACACACACACACACACAUGUGAUGUUUAAGGUGUCUAGAUUAUAUGAAAUAAAUAAAUAAAUAAGUCAGGACUAGGAGCAUUCAAAGGAAUUUUUAAAAUACUCAAAUUGAUCAGCUAUCCAAAAUCAAUUACAUACAGUAGGUGUAACUUUGAAAAAUCAUAUCUUCCUUUAGAAAACAUAUAUUUCAAUAUUUUAUGUGUCAAAAUUCAAUUUUAGAAGUCAAGAAUUUGGAAAAAUAUUAAUUUAAAUUAAAAAAGGUCAAAAAGUAAUUGAAUUUUGCAAAAUGCUCUCAGAUGUAUAGUAUUAUACCAAAAUAGAACAUUUUGAAAGAAGAGAUCAUAACUCAACUUUGAGAAAAGCUUUUUUACUCCAACAAUCUUCUAAAAUCAACAACAAAAUGUGAAUAAGAUCAUACAAUUUUUGGGAAAAAAUUUUAAAGCACUCCAAGAUAUUCAAAAAAAAUUCUAAAGGCUUAGUGAUUGAAACUAGCAGCAAAAAUGAGUUUUGAAAAAAUUCUUUCAUGUAGGUGUUCCAUCAAAUCACCAUUCAAUAUUUAUAAGUUUAACUUGUACAUUCUCAACCUCGAAUGAAAAGAUUCACCCAAGCCAAGAAUACUCUUGUUAGCUUGGGAGCAUAGGUUUAAACCUAUGUGAAUAAAAAAACCAAGUUUUGGAAAACCAAAAAAAGAGAGAAUGCAACUUGGAUGAAAUGAGUUGCAUGUUUUUUUUAAAAUAAAGUGAGAUCUUUGCCCUAAACCUAGAAUGGAUUUCUUUCAAAGUUUUUAGAUGGUUUAAACUCUUUUGAAAACAAUUUUUAGAGGAAGCAAAAAGAACUAAGUGAAUUAAUAUAUCGCAAUCAAUAUACACAAAAAGGAUUUUUAAGUUUCUAACUUGAAGUGAUUAAAGAAAACAAAAGAAAUGCUUACUUGGAUCCACUUUUUGGCUACCCUUCAUUAGCCAUCAAGGAGCCUCAUCCAUAAUGGUGUAAAUUUGUUAUUAUUAUUAUUUUUUUUUUGUAAAAUAAAUUUUGACACAACUCAAAAUGCUAAUUUUAAAAAGCUUUUUCUAAAAAAGUGAGCUCUCAAAGAUAAAUAAUUAAACAUAUAUUAUCCAAUUUUAGCAAGAAUACUAGAUUUUAAGAAUAAUUGACAUGCUUUCAAAUAUAAAUAAGUAAAAACGAAUUUUAACAAGGAAAUCAAAUAUUAAUGGCAAAAAUCUAGUAGCAUAUCAUAUCAAAGACUUUACUAACAAUAGAUCUAAAUCUUAAAAAAAAAAAAAAUUCAUUGAACAAUGGUAAAAACAUUCAAUAGCAUGUCAAAUAUCAUGGAUUUCACUAAUAAUAAAUCUAAAUCUUAAAAAAUAUAAAAUAAAAUAAAUCAUACUUUCAAAUAACAAUGACAAAAACACUCGAUAACGUAUCAAAUAUCAUGGAUUUAACUAAUAAUAAAUCUAAAUAUAAAUUUAAAUCUAAAUCUAAAAAAAAAAAAAAUUAUGCUUUCAAAGAACAAUGGUAAAAACACUCAAUAACAUAUUAAAUAUCAUGAACUUAACUAAUAAUAAAUCUAAAUCUAAAAAACAUGCUUUCAAACGACGAUGACAAAAACACUCAAUAGCAUGCCAACUAUCAUGGACUUAACUAAUAAUAAAUCUAUAUCUAAAAAAUCAUACCUUCAAAGAAUAAUAACAAAAAAACUCAAUAGCAUAUCAAAUAUUAUGAAUUUAACUAAUAAUAAAUCUAAAUCUUAAAAAAAAAAAAAAAUCAUGCUUGCUCUCAUAUAAAUGUUCCUCAUCAUCUAACUUAAUCCCAAUAACUUAGAGAAACAAAACAAGUAAGAUCACGUAAGAAUGUAGUUGGCAGGAGAAGGAGAGAUGGAUAGAAAGGGUAAUUUUGGGACUUUGAUGCUUUACUCUAUUAGAGUACAUGUUUAGAUGAUUAUUUUUUCCAAAAUGCAUGUAUGAAACUUCUUAAAAAUGUUAUUUAAAAAAAAAAAUUGUGUAUGAAAGCAUGAUUUUUCCUUUUUAAAAAAUGGACAAUUAUGUUUUAAAGGUAGAUGAACCUAAUAAUAGCUCUAAAAGCUGCGUAUUUUGCAUAAUUGCUAAUAAGGAUAAUGGUUCUGAAAGCUACAUAUUUUGCAUAAUUUCUAAUAAGGACACGAGAUAUGAUGGACAAAAGUACUCUUAUCAAAUGUCAUGUGAUCUACUGCCUAAACAACUCAUACUUUCUUCUUUGCAUCCCUCCACCUCUUUCAAUGGAAGACUAUCUUUUAUUUCAAUCCUUUGAAGAUCCAAGUCUAUAUUAUCUCCACCUUGUAAGCUCGACCACAACCGUCAGGAAUCAUCUUAGCCCUUCAAUAGGUUAUCUCGUUUGUAAUUUGUUUUCAAAUUUAACAACCCACUCAACCUAUCAAGUUGUCUCCAAUCUUCAAUAGAUUAUCUCGUUGUAAUUUGUUUUCAAAUUUUAAAAAAUUUAAUAUUAUUAAAAUAGAUUAUUAUUUUUAAGAUAAAAUUAAAAAUAAAAUAAAAUAAUGAUAAAGUUAAUUUUUUGAAUCUUUCCUUUGAUUUCUAAAUAUUUUAAAAAUAAAUAGAAAAAUUAAAAUAUUCAAUUUGAAAACUAAAAAUAAUAUUAACUUUUAUAGGCUUACAUUAAAAACGUAAUGAUUUUAAAAAUUAUUUUAAAAACUGAGGUUUCAAAUUCAUUUUUACUAUCUCACAUUUUAAAAUUUAAAACAACGACUUGAGAACAGAAAUUGCGUGGAGACGGUCAUGGCUAAGCCUAAAGAGACGUGGUGGGCUUAUCCGGAAGGACAAGGCAGCAUGAUUGUUCCCUGAUGGGUCCUAAUUAGCGUGCCCUGGUUGGAUGGUGACGCCCCCAUUUUUAGUCAAUCAUCGAAAUCCUACUAACCCCGUCUUUGUCGUGUUCUGAUUGUAUUUAAUAUUUAGUGCCUUCCGCUUUCUAAAUAAGUCCAUCACGUGUCCCUGUCCAGUGUCCACAUAUUUCAAGUGCUCCUUCCAUAUGAUUUUUUUAAAAUAAUUUUAAAAAAUAUAAUGGGCACGAAAGUUUGACUGAAAAAGCUUUCAAAACAAAAUAUUCAUUAUUUAAUAAUGAAGUUAAAUUAUUUUUAAUUUUUUAACUUAAAAUUUAUUAUUUAAUUUUUAUUUUAAGUAUUAAAAUUAUUUAAUAAAAUUGAUUUAAAUUUAUUUUAAAUCAUCAAUCCAAUAUAUUUUCUCUCAUUAAUUUUAAUAUUUAUAUUUUAAGUAUGGUAGAUAUAUAUCAUAAUAAUUUUUAUUUUAAAAAAUAAUUAGUUUCUAUUACCUUACUGCAUUUGGACUACGAAAUCUUAUUUUUUUACAAGAUUUUUCCAUUGGUUUGAAAGCUGUCUUUUUCUUAUCAUCUCACUUGGAAAUCUCCAUUUUCAACAAGAUAUUUUUCCUCACCUUUACAUCCUAUUUUCUCCCUCUAUGCUCCACUUAUUAAACAUUUUUGUUAUUUUAAAAAAUAUAAUAUUCAUAUUUAGUAUUAUUGUUGUAAUUGGAAUAUUUAAUACUUUAAAAUAGAAAUUCAAGUUUAUAAAAUAUAAAUUUUAAGUAAUUAUCUAAAAAUAAUUAACAUUUCAUACACUUUUUUUUAUCAAAAGUAUUACUCACUUUUAAUAAUAUAAGUGUUACUUUUAAUCAUCCUAACUUUACAUUUUACUCAUGAGUAUAUAAAACUUAAAUUAUUUUUAAAGAGUUUUUAUUUUAUAAUUAUUUUUUCAUGAGCAUGUGAAUGUGAUUAGUUGGUAUUCAAAAUAGACAAUUCUAGUAUGUAACUCGAGAAAGAGAUGGUUGAAUAAAAACAAUUCCAUUUUGAAUUCUAUUCCUAUCAAAGGGCGAUAUGAAUAUUCUAUUAACAUGUUAAAAGGGUCAUAUGAUAUAUUUAGUGUGAAAGAUGACCAACAUUUGAUAAAUAAGAGGUUUCCAAGUUCAUACCCAAGUACUUAUUACUUCGUGGGUUGUAAUUGCUAUUUUAUUAGGUGCAGGUAUUGUAGUUGUUCAGAAUCUAUAAAUCAUUCUUACUAAGAAAAUGAAAGCGUUCUAGUUUUUUUUACACAUAGAAUUUUUUAUUUUCAAAAUAUUAUACAUAUUUUUUAAAAUCGAAACGCUUUUAAAUGAUUUAUAAAUAUAAUAAUUUUAGUUUAAAAAGUAAAUAAGAAUGUUAUCUUUCCAAAGAGUAAUUUCAAAUUUCAAUUUGAAUUCCUUAACAUGGUCGUAGGUUUAGAAAUAGUUUAAAAGAGGAUAUAUUUUAAUAAAUAAUUUCAAAAUUAUUGAAACCAUACUGCAGCGACACAACAGAUUUAUGCUUUCUACGAGGAAGGAAAGGAGCAUUUUACCCGAAAAGAAGAGGUGGGAGGGAAGAAAACGCGUGUGAUAUUAUUAGGAAAUGACCACACCGUGAUACCCUGGAAAAGACCUUGAAAGGGGACCGAAUGCCCCAUAUUUUAGAAGUUUCUUGGCAUUGUGCCAUUCUCGCUUCCAAGCUCACAAAUAUCUUAUCGGUCUAUCUCUAUCGCCCUUAUAUAUUACCACCCUUUCUCUCUGCUCUCAAUUCUCUUCUUCUCCUCAUCGCUCCCUCUGUAUCGGAUCGGGGUUCCAUAGACUCUUAAGGUAAUUGAGACAUUUUCUCUUAAUUGCUGUGAUCUUCCUAGAUUUUAUGAACAAAUGCUUUUACUGUUUGGUUGCUGAGAAAUUGUAUCGGAAAAUAAUGAAACCUUGCCUGUUUCCGAGAUUAAUUCUCCGUUUUUUUUUUUUUUUUUCUCUCUAAGAAAAUUAUUUUUCCUCCCUUUCUUAGCAACCAACGUUGCUUUACUUUUAACGCUUGGUACCUUAUAUUUUGAGAAAUCGGUUGUAUUAAUAUGACGCGAUCUAUUAGCGACAGUGAAAGGGGAGGAUUGUGUUGGAGUAUAGGAUCAGGAGCUGUGGAUCAAUUUAAAAGUGACAAUCUGAUUAUUGGAUUUAAUUCCGUGUAUUGUUGCAUGAAUUUCUUGAGUUCGGUUCCAAUUCUGCGCCAUUUCUUUUCCAUUUUAUGACAUAAUUUUUCUUUUAAUUAUAGAAGCUUCGGAAAAAGUAAUUUAUGAGUAUGUUUAAUUGAAUUUUUAUCCUUUUUUUUUUCACUUUUCUUUUAUUUAUAUCGUGCUUUUCGUGAUUAUCUUGACAUUGAAUUGAAUUGUAUGAUAUAUUUCUAUAUGUUUUUUCUGAGUGUUUUUUUGUUUUAGUUACUACUUGCAUAAACUACUAAAAAAUUUUAGUUUAUUAAUUGUAUGAGAGAGUUUUAAGAGCAUACGGUAUUUGACCAAUUCAUCACUGAAAAUGAUUUCUCAUUUUAUUUGGUUUGUUGACCUAUUUAUCUUAUGUUAUUUUCUUGUUGCAAUUACCCUUCUAUGGAUCAGAACCAGAGGACAGCUCUUUUUGUGUUGUCUUAUUUUCUUCCUUUAGGCAUAUUCAUUUUCUUUUUGAACCUUAUUGCAGCAAAGUUUGAACAAUUAAGUGUUUGUUGCUGUCGAGUUGUUACUUAAAAACAACUUAAUGCAAUUUUAUAUGAGUUCCACAUGCCAGGCUAAUGUGUAUAUAUACGAUAAAGGAAGAGACAAAGUCGGAGCUGUUCCUUUUGGGAAUGUGAUGUUGACCUCUGGUCCUGUCAACAUUGUGCUAAUGUACAUACUUUGUAUAUUCAUGAAUAAUGAUCAUUUGUUCCACCUGGUAUCAAGUCCUUAGUUGUAUUUGUGUCAUUAAGAAUUAGGAUCCUUAAUGGUGAUAGGUGUCUAGGGAAUAUCUACUUCCAGGUCUAGCAUGAACUAAUUUAGAUAUGGUGUUGUCAUGGUGUACCCUGUCUUUUUCUGCAGCCAUUACUGUACUAUAGCCAUUUUAAACCUUGUUAAAUCUUUGGUCAGUAUGACAGUAACAGCUACCCUUCUUUAUAUUUUUGUUUGAAAGAUUACAUUGGCAUCAUUAGUUGAUGUUUGAUUCCAUUAGAAUUGCAUGAAAUAAACUGCUAACCUUCUUUUUGUUCCUUUUCCUUGUUUGCUUAAUCAUUUCUGAUAUUGUGAAUGGACAUGCAAGUGUUAUGGGUUGUUUGUUGCAAAAUGAAAACUGAGAAGUUGUCUGGGAAAAGGAAUCACUGCUUGGUUGGGAGCCUGUACAAUAAUGGGCUCUCUAUGACAAUGAAAUAGUUUAAAAAAUCCAUCUUGUGUAUGAAUGAAUAUCUGUCUCCUGAAUCAAAUUCAGGUGCCAGCUUCUCAACAUCACCUACUGAGAAGUUAUUCCUUCUCAUGGAGCUUUUUGUUUAUUCUAAAAGAACUUAGAAAAGUUAAUUAUUCAGGAUAGCUCAUUUGAAAAUAUUUUGUGGUUUUUAAAUUAGGGUGUCUUGGAAAGGCAUAUAUAUCAAUUUUUCUGGACGUAAUUUUCUGCUCCCAGAUUAAAAUGGCAAUGAGCCAAAUCCUUUUGUCAGUUUUCGUACUUGGUCUUUUUUCCAAGUCCAAAACAGCCAAAAUCAUGUAGUUGAAGAAAAUCUAUCUUGUAUCUUGAAACAUUUGAGUUUUUGAAGAUUUGAUCUAUAUUUUUAUUUUUGUUUUAAUAGGAUGUUUAUAUUUUGCUUGGCUGUUUCUUUUCUAUCUGAGAUGAACUAGAAAGUGUUGUGCCAAGUCAUUGAUCUAGGGUUUGAUAUGGUUCCAAUGGAUAAAAUGGCUUUAGGCCAUUGUGAUGGUGUUCUUGAAUUGGGAUGAUAGUUUCUUUUUAGAAUUCUAGGAAUUUGCAAGCCAUAGAUAUGAAAAUGAACUCUAAGUAAUAUGAAAUGCUGAAAGUAAAGAGAUAAAUGAUAGAGAAAAUGAAAACAAUGAUUUUUAAUGUGGUUUGGCCCAACCCACCUACAUCCACAACCCCUUAACUCCUCCACAAGCAUUGAGGUUAUCCACUAAAUCCAAAGAGUCUUCUCAAGCAUGACUUUUCUUAUCCUCCUUUACAUUGGAUUUCUUAGGUUCUAUUGAACCUUUACAAGAUUGAAAAUAUUAUAAACAUACCUUCUACACAACCUCAAAAGAGUACAAUGAGUAAAAAGUUUGGAGUGUAUGAUAUACAUUAUGGGCUCAAAUCCUACAAGCCUAAGCUUUUAUGAAAAUUAGUUGUCUAACAUGGUAUCAAUGCCUUGUUUGACAAAAGUUCAAGUAUUGGAACCCCACUACAUGUUUAUUUACCCACCUUAUUAAGCCUAAAAGAGGUUGUUUAUGGUUUUAUUUAUCUACGUGUUUGUGUGUACUUAUGUGUCUAUCCACAUGCGGGUAUGGAGUUGCUCUAACAAAAGGUACAGGAAAAGUCUCUUGAAGAGUAGGUGGACAGAAGUGUUUUUAAUGAGAGCAAGCAAAUUCAAUCUAAGAGCUUUCUAGAAAUUUUUAAAGAGGAUAUUCAAUGGAGUACUAAUGAUAUGCAAGGGUUUAGUAAGUAAUAAAUGUGUCUUAGGCUUCAUAUAUAUACCUUUUGGGAUUAAACUAACUGUUAGACACAGGCUUCCCAGAAAGUGCCAAUCAUAAGGUCGACGAAAUGAACUGUAGAUAACCGUUGGACGGAAAACCUACUGAUGAGUUCUACCACGUACACAAUCACAGGCUUCCCAGACGGUGCCAAUCAUAAGGUCGACGAAAUGAACUGUAGAUAACCGUUGGACGGAAAACCUACUGAUGAGUUCUACCACAUACACAAUAGGUCAACCACAUGGUCGCCUACAUGGUAGGCAGCAGCAUUUUUCCAUGAUUUUCAAGUUUCAAUAGGUCAACUAGGUUCAACCACACGAGUUGUAGCAGUGUUUUUGCUACCUCUUUAGGCUUCAUUUUGAGAUUUUUUUUAAUACCCUAAAGCAAUAUUUAAAAUCUCGUCUGAGAGUAGUAUGACUUGAUUGAGUUGUAUCUACCUUGACCAUACCCACUACUUGACUGAGUUGAGUUGAUUAUUUUGUUGACUCACAAAACAACUUGUUUGAAUAAGAGAGAUGGAUGUGUAGUCUUAGAAUGAUUUGCAUGACAAUUUCAAGAUGACUUGUAGACGAUGCUGAGAGUAAGUGAUCCAACUGAUGAAGAAGGUGGUGAUGUCAAAGUGAAGGGUGAUGGAAAGGAGGGGAAGAAAAGCUGUGAAAUGAAGAAGAUUGCAAGGACAGAGAGAAAGAGAGGAGUAUGUUUGGGUCUCUGGGAUCCUUCAUUUGCAUCUUCAUCCAUGAUUGAUUUAAUUCACACUUUGGUAUUUGCAUCUUCAUUCAUGGCUGAUUCAUCUUCAGUUUAAACUUUAGAGAUGAAAUGGAGAGACAAAAUGGUAUUUGUGUAGGGAAUGAGAAUGGGUAUUUGGUCCUAAAUGGGUAAUGGUAGUAGGUAUGUGAUUGGAAUUUAGUUUAUGGAUGAUCAGUAUCUGUUUUUAAAUGGGCAAUGGGUAUUUGAUGAAAAUUUGCAUUCAUAUAAAAUGAGUAGGAGGUAUAUGGGCUUAUAUGAAAUAAAUGAGAUAUAAAUAUUGAUAUAAAAAUUGGAAAUGGAUAUAGGCAUUAAAAAACAUAUUCAUUUUUUAAAUAUGCUAAUUCAAUUAAAAAUAAAACUAAUAAAAAAUUUUAUUUGCAACUUUAAA
Molecule: long non-coding RNA, 29297 nt
Filed under: Vitis vinifera (wine grape)
Lineage: Eukaryota; Viridiplantae; Streptophyta; Magnoliopsida; Vitales; Vitaceae
Description: long non-coding RNA (VVIN_LNC000169)
Source: RNAcentral